CCUACGGGAGGCAGCAGUAAGGAAUAUUGGUCAAUGGAGGCAACUCUGAACCAGCCAUGCCGCGUGCAGGAAGAAGGCCCUAUGGGUCGUAAACUGCUUUUGUACCAGAGAAAACCCGAGUACGUGUACUCGGUUGAUAGUAUGGUAAGAAUAAGCAUCGGCUAACUUCGUGCCAGCAGCCGCGGUAAGACGAAGGAUGCAAGCGUUAUCCGGAUUCAUUGGGUUUAAAGGGUGCGUAGGCGGACUGAUAAGUCAGUGGUGAAAUCUCUCAGCUUAACUGAGAAGCUGCCAUUGAUACUGUUAGUCUAGAGUAUAGAUGACGUUGGCGGAAUAUGACAUGUAGUGGUGAAAUACUUAGAUAUGUCAUAGAACACCGAUUGCGAAGGCAGCUAACGAAACUAUAACUGACGCUGAGGCACGAAAGUGCGGGGAUCAAACAGGAUUAGAUACCCUGGUAGUCCGCACCGUAAACGAUGAUUACUCGUUGUUGGCAAUAUGACCGUCAGCGACCAAGCGAAAGCGAUAAGUAAUCCACCUGGGGAGUACGCCGGCACGGUGAAACUUAAAGUGAAUUGACGG
Molecule: ribosomal RNA, 579 nt
Filed under: uncultured bacterium
Lineage: Bacteria
Description: bacterial SSU rRNA
Rfam family: Bacterial small subunit ribosomal RNA
Source: RNAcentral